Molecule: ribosomal RNA, 116 nt
Filed under: uncultured bacterium
Lineage: Bacteria
Description: partial 16S ribosomal RNA
Rfam family: Bacterial small subunit ribosomal RNA
Source: RNAcentral
UACGUUCCCGGGGCUUGUACACACCGCCCGUCACACCACGAAAGUCGGCAACACCCGAAGCCGGUGGCCUAACCGCAAGGAAGGAGCCGUCGAAGGUGGGGUCGGUGAUUGGGGUG